GGGGGGCAAGCGUUGUUCGGAAUUACUGGGCGUAAAGGGCUUGUAGGUGGCCAACUAAGUCAGACGUGAAAUCCCUCGGCUUAACCGGGGAACUGCGUCUGAUACUGGAUGGCUGGAGUGUGGGAGAGGGAUGCGGAAUUCCAGGUGUAGCGGUGAAAUGCGUAGAUAUCUGGAGGAACCCCGGUGGCGAAGGCGGCAUCCUGGACCAUUACUGACACUGAAAAGCGAAAGCCAGGGGAGCAAACGGG
This 248-nucleotide ribosomal RNA is filed under the name uncultured bacterium. Its description in RNAcentral is "partial 16S ribosomal RNA". It matches the Rfam family "Bacterial small subunit ribosomal RNA", at positions 529 to 776 of the family's 1533-position model. The record is from RNAcentral.